RNAcentral lists this ribosomal RNA (212 nucleotides) under uncultured microorganism. Its description in RNAcentral is "partial 16S ribosomal RNA". It matches the Rfam family "Bacterial small subunit ribosomal RNA", at positions 9 to 223 of the family's 1533-position model. The record is from RNAcentral.
GAGUUUGAUCGUGGCUCAGGACGAACGCUGGCGGCGUGCUUAACACAUGCAAGUCGAACGGUAAGGCUCCAGCUUGUUGGGGUACACGAGUGGCGAACGGGUGAGUAACACGUGGGUGACCUGCCCUGCACUUCGGGAUAAGCCUGGGAAACUGGGUCUAAUACCGGAUAGGACCGCACCGUGAGGGUGUGGUGGAAAGUUUUUCGUUGUGG